RNAcentral lists this ribosomal RNA (269 nucleotides) under uncultured prokaryote. RNAcentral's name for it is "partial 16S ribosomal RNA". It matches the Rfam family "Bacterial small subunit ribosomal RNA", at positions 524 to 792 of the family's 1533-position model. The record is from RNAcentral.
UACGUAGGUGGCGAGCGUUGUCCGGAUUUACUGGGCGUAAAGGGAGCGUAGGCGGACUUUUAAGUGAGAUGUGAAAUACCCGGGCUCAACUUGGGUGCUGCAUUUCAAACUGGGAAACUUGAGUGCAGGAGAGGAGAGUGGAAUUCCUAGUGUAGCGGUGAAAUGCGUAGAUAUUAGGAGGAACACCAGUUGCGAAGGCGGCUCUCUGGACUGUAACUGACACUGAGGCACGAAAGCGUGGGGAGCAAACAGGAUUAGAUACCCCUGUA